RNAcentral lists this small nucleolar RNA (128 nucleotides) under Cervus hanglu yarkandensis (Yarkand deer). RNAcentral describes it as "Small nucleolar RNA U109 (ENSCHYG00000020624.1)". It matches the Rfam family "Small nucleolar RNA U109". Lineage: Eukaryota; Metazoa; Chordata; Mammalia; Artiodactyla; Cervidae. The record is from Rfam by way of RNAcentral.
CUGCAUGUGAAUGUCGGCUCCUCAUUCCUCUGCAAGACGAAAUCUAUAACAUGCUAGAAUAAUAAAGGAGUUCUCAGGGCUGGCAAUGUUACAGUAACCGUUGAGUAGUAACUGUUUCUCCUACAUUU